This 77-nucleotide small RNA is filed under the name Flavobacterium sp. TAB 87. RNAcentral describes it as "Flavo-1 RNA". It matches the Rfam family "Flavo-1 RNA". Lineage: Bacteria; Pseudomonadati; Bacteroidota; Flavobacteriia; Flavobacteriales; Flavobacteriaceae. The record is from Rfam by way of RNAcentral.
GCUUAGCCCAGAUAGCAGCGAAAUCCUUUUGUGCUGGAGUUCGGCAAAAAAGAUUGGAGCGUAUAGCGGGAAAAGCU